GAUGAACGCUGGCGGCGUGCCUAAUACAUGCAAGUCGAGCGAACAGACGAGGAGCUUGCUCCUCUGACGUUAGCGGCGGACGGGUGAGUAACACGUGGAUAACCUACCUAUAAGACUGGGAUAACUUCGGGAAACCGGAGCUAAUACCGGAUAAUAUAUUGAACCGCAUGGUUCAAUAGUGAAAGACGGUUUUGCUGUCACUUAUAGAUGGAUCCGCGCCGCAUUAGCUAGUUGGUAAGGUAACGGCUUACCAAGGCGACGAUGCGUAGCCGACCUGAGAGGGUGAUCGGCUACACUGGAACUGAGACACGGUCCAGACUCCUAAGGGAGGCAGCAGUAGGGAAUCUUCCGCAAUGGGCGAAAGCCUGACGGAGCAACGCCGCGUGAGUGAUGAAGGUCUUCGGAUCGUAAAACUCUGUUAUUAGGGAAGAACAAAUGUGUAAGUAACUAUGCACGUCUUGACGGUACCUAAUCAGAAAGCCACGGCUAACUACGUG
Molecule: ribosomal RNA, 497 nt
Filed under: uncultured bacterium
Lineage: Bacteria
Description: partial 16S ribosomal RNA
Rfam family: Bacterial small subunit ribosomal RNA
Source: RNAcentral